GCUCUGAUAGCUCAGUGGUUAGAGCGUCGUGCUAAUAACGCGAAGGUCCGGGGUUCGACCCCCCGUCGGAGCA
Molecule: transfer RNA, 73 nt
Filed under: Nosema bombycis CQ1
Lineage: Eukaryota; Fungi; Microsporidia; Nosematidae
Description: tRNA-Ile (AAT) (tRNA-Ile-AAT-1-1)
Rfam family: tRNA
About the family: Transfer RNA (tRNA) molecules are approximately 80 nucleotides in length.
Source: Rfam by way of RNAcentral